GACCAUGCUAUCGGAUAGGAUAUUGUCUCCUUCGACUACUUCCCUCUGUCUUGCUCGGGACUUCUCCGCAAGCAACUGGCAAUGGCGUCUUCGAUCUCGACGUGCCACAGCCUCUUGCCCUCCCAAUUCUCUCUGAAGAACCGAGUUCUUCAUCAACCCACUUCCUUCUUGCCCUCGUCCACCACUAAUUUGUCCUCGAAAUCGAACCUUCUUUCUCUUCAGUUCUUGAACACGACGCGUCUCCCACUUCACUCUCCGACCAGGAAGUCCCUCUCCGUCGUCGCCAUGGCUCCUCCUAAACCCAGUGGCAAACCCAAGAAAGUGGUUGGGUUGAUAAAGCUUGCGCUAGAAGCUGGGAAAGCAACUCCUGCGCCUCCUGUGGGGCCUGCGCUCGGUGCCAAGGGUGUUAACAUAAUGGCCUUUUGCAAAGAUUACAAUGCCAAGACCGCCGAUAAAGCCGGUUAUGUUAUUCCGGUGGAAAUCACUGUCUACGAUGAUAAGAGUUUCACUUUCAUUUUGAAGACCCCUCCUGCUUCAGUUCUGUUACUUAAGGCUGCAGGUGUGGAGAAAGGUUCGAAGGACCCAAAGAUGGAGAAAGUCGGGAAGAUCACAAUUGACCAAUUGCGUGCGAUCGCUACGGAGAAGUUGCCCGACUUGAAUUGCACGACUAUAGAAUCGGCAAUGAGAAUAAUAGCAGGAACGGCAGCUAAUAUGGGUGUCGAUAUCGACCCCCCUGUUCUUGAGCCCAAAAAGAAAGAACUUGUGUAGUCUUGUCAAUCCUCUGUUGCCAUAAGUUUUGCAUCAUGGUGCUUAGAGUUGAGCAUUUUUAAUUACUGACAAUGGUGCUUGUCCGGCGUUCUUCCCAAGUGAAGAAGAGCAUAAACAGGAAUGCUCGUUUCAUUCAAAGUCACAGCGGACAUGAUCGAAUAGGAGAUGUACAUUCUGAGUUUGAAAGUUGGUGCGGUUGCAGUGUGGUUGCACUCGGUUGCUUAAAACUCUCAUGGCGAUCGCAGCCCAGCAAGUGGUCUCCGCGGCGGCGGUCGCUAUACUAGUUGCAUUAUAAGCGAUUAGGUUUUCAACCUUUUUCACAAGAACUUUCUUAUCCACUCUGUACAUAAAUUUCAGUUUGAUUUUAUACAAUGUACUCCAGAUGUAUGGUCAAAUAGGACAUGUACAGUCAGACAUAU
This is an RNA transcript of Rhodamnia argentea, 1187 nucleotides long. It is a transcript of the gene named 50S ribosomal protein L11, chloroplastic, with no coding region annotated. The transcript is spliced from 5 exons. Lineage: Eukaryota; Viridiplantae; Streptophyta; Magnoliopsida; Myrtales; Myrtaceae. The record is from RefSeq and is a predicted model, not a curated record.